This is a non-coding RNA of Podarcis muralis (Common wall lizard), 2009 nucleotides long. NCBI's taxonomy places the organism in Eukaryota, Metazoa, Chordata, Lepidosauria, Squamata, Lacertidae. The record is from RefSeq and is a predicted model, not a curated record.
CCCACUUCUCGUUUCUCCAGAGCCAAGGAGAACGUCUCCUCUCCCGGGAGGCACCCGAAGAACUGAAGCAGCAGCCUCUUGCUCUGGGGUACUUCGUCUCUACUGCCAAAGCUGAGAACCUCCCUCAGUGGUUCUGGUCAUCCUGUCCACAGGCCCAGAAUCAGUGUCCCCUCUUUUUGAAGGCAUCGUUGCACCACCACAUCUCUGUCGCUCAUACGGAUGAACUCCUCCCUGCACGGAACUCCCAGAGGGUUCCCCACCCCUUGGACUCUAAAACCACGUCUGAUGUUCUGAGGUUUGUGCUGGAGCAGUACAAUGCACUGUCGUGGCUCACUUGCAACCCCGCAACUCAGGACCGCAGCUCCUGCCUUCCUGUCCACUUCGUGGUGCUCACACAGCUAUACAAUGCCAUCAUGAACAUCCUCUAAUCACCCGGAAGCGCCUGGAUGACCUUCCCCUUCAACCUGAGAAAGACGGGCCGUGGCUCGCGAGGGUCUGAGGAGCCCUUCUCCUCGUCGGACCCCAGCCUCUGGGGCCCAAGCAGCGCCUUGUAUCUUCCAGGAAUAAUAACAGGAGGCUUCUCCAGUGUUUGUGGAGUGUGCCUGGUGGGCCACAUCAGGACUUCUGCCAAGCAUACCAGACAGUGAGAUGUACCGCAACCUCAAGGGCAGUGUUAACGCAGUGGCGGGACGUUAAUGGAACAACGGACCACAGAAGACAGUGUCCUUCCCUUUUGUUAUUUCUUUUUUGUUAUUUUCUGUUUCGUUGCGCACGGAUCUCUUUGCCUAAGAGACAAGUGCCCUCCUUUCCGAGCGAAAUGUUGUCGUGACCAGUUUGGGUGGCCAAAACUCUUUUAACAUUGUUCCUUGAAAAACCGCCGGAUGAACGUGGCUGCAAUGAAGAACCAGUUCUUGUAGUCUUUUCAAAAGAAAAAUAGUGGGAUUUCUGUCUACCUGCAAUUCCUGUCUGAGUGGAUUGGGUUGAAUGCAUGCAUUUGUUACCUGUCCAUGUAGAUGCGAACGGUCUUGGAGAUGCUCUCUUCGAGUUUUGUUUGUUUUUUAAUUUAUUAAUGGGGGCUGUUAAAUUAUAGAGGACCAGGUACAGUAGUUGAUCCAGCUAUGCUCUGCCAAGAAGUAUUUAUCGACAUACCUCACAUUCUUCUGACUGAGAAAUGGGGUAAAAACCAUGGAGGAAAUCCAAAAAUAACCAAGUUAGGAAGAGCAUUCGAGGAAGAACUUUAGGAGUCACUAUUUUUAUUAUUAUUAUUAUUACUAUCUUUGGUGGACUUUUUUUGAUUAAGGAACUCUAGCGAGGUUUAAAUAAAUUCACAUGAACAAUAACGCAAAAUGCAGGACAACAGACCAGUGGGAGGCAAUAAAACACUUUAGCGUCGAGGCAAAUUGAAGGGAGAAAUACUAAUUAAGAGAGGAGUCUGAUGGAUGUGGAAAUUAAUCCCGAAGCUCAAGUCACCUAUAAACUGGGAGAGACUCAUCUGUCAUAUAUUCGUGUGUGUUAUGUAUGUAUGUGUGAUAUAUAUGUGCAUACACACACACACACACACACACACACACACACACACGUAGAUUGUUUACACUCUUAUCAGUUUCAAAUCUGGUGUAUUUGUCUAUAGGAAGAAAAAUAUUAUUUCAAAGAAAUAAUUUUUAAAAGUUGUAUCAUUAAAUUAGUACUUGAAAAUGAAAGACCACUGAGGUGGAAAAAAAAUGAAUCGGUUUAGUUAAAAUGUUUGCCAUUUUAAAAAAAAAGUUUAAAGCAAAUCAUAUUAUUUUUAUGACUCCUUAAUUCUAGGAUUUGAGAAGUCUAUGCUGUUAAAAGAUCCCAUUUCUAAUGUUUCUCUUUGCACUGUGGGCAGGCCUGGGCUGCUUUAAAGAAGAGGAAUCAAGUAUUGUGGGGACGUGGUCAAGGUUGCUGACCAUUGUCCUUGGAGAGAAUACCAUUUUUGAAGUUCUUCCAAAAGUCCGUCUUGUUCUGGUUAAAAAAAAAAAAAAGGA